Molecule: long non-coding RNA, 245 nt
Filed under: Brassica napus (rape)
Lineage: Eukaryota; Viridiplantae; Streptophyta; Magnoliopsida; Brassicales; Brassicaceae
Description: long non-coding RNA (BNAP_LNC010595)
Source: RNAcentral
ACGAAAAACACUAAACAGUAUAAAGUACCAAAUAAUUAACAAUGAAACAUAUAUUGUAUGUUUUAUUAAGGUAGGCAUAAACGAUAGCUAAUACCAACACAACAUAAAACGAAUACAACUGCGCAGUUGUAUUCGUUUUAUGUUGUGUUGGUAUUAGCUAUCGUUUAUGCCUACCUUAAUAAAACAUACAAUAUAUGUUUCAUUGUUAAUUAUUUGGUACUUUAUACUGUUUAGUGUUUUUCGUA